Molecule: ribosomal RNA, 487 nt
Filed under: uncultured bacterium
Lineage: Bacteria
Description: partial 16S ribosomal RNA
Rfam family: Bacterial small subunit ribosomal RNA
Source: RNAcentral
GAUGAACGCUGGCGGCGUGCUUAACACAUGCAAGUCGAACGGGAUCCAUCAGGCUUUGCUUGGUGGUGAGGGUGGCGAACGGGUGAGUAAUGCGUGACCGACCUGCCCCAUACACCGGAAUAGCUCCUGGAAACGGGUGGUAAUGCCGGAUGCUCCGACUCCUCGCAUGGGGUGUCGGGAAAGAUUUCAUCGGUAUGGGAUGGGGUCGCGUCCUAUCAGGUAGUCGGCGGGGUAACGGCCCACCGAGCCUACGACGGGUAGCCGGCCUGAGAGGGCGACCGGCCACAUUGGGACUGAGAUACGGCCCAGACUCCUACGGGAGGCAGCAGUGGGGAAUAUUGCACAAUGGGCGCAAGCCUGAUGCAGCGACGCCGCGUGCGGGAUGACGGCCUUCGGGUUGUAAACCGCUUUUGAUCGGGAGCAAGCCUUCGGGUGAGUGUACCUUUCGAAUAAGCACCGGCUAACUACGUGCCAGCCGCCGCCGUAA